RNAcentral lists this ribosomal RNA (274 nucleotides) under uncultured bacterium. RNAcentral's name for it is "partial 16S ribosomal RNA". It matches the Rfam family "Bacterial small subunit ribosomal RNA", at positions 523 to 796 of the family's 1533-position model. The record is from RNAcentral.
AUACGGAGGGUGCAAGCGUUAAUCGGAAUUACUGGGCGUAAAGGGCGCGUAGGCGGUCGAUCAAGUCAGGUGUGAAAUCCCACGGCUCAACCGUGGAGGUGCAUCUGAAACUGAUAGACUUGAGUAUGGGAGAGGAAAGUGGAAUUCCCGGUGUAGAGGUGAGAUUCGUAGAUAUCGGGAGGAACACCAGUGGCGAAGGCGACUUUCUGGACCAAUACUGACGCUGAGGCGCGAAAGCGUGGGGAGCAAACAGGAUUAGAAACCCUUGUAGUCC